RNAcentral lists this ribosomal RNA (504 nucleotides) under uncultured bacterium. RNAcentral's name for it is "partial 16S ribosomal RNA". It matches the Rfam family "Bacterial small subunit ribosomal RNA", at positions 30 to 523 of the family's 1533-position model. The record is from RNAcentral.
AUUGAACGCUGGCGGCAGGCCUAACACAUGCAAGUCGAACGGUAGCACAGAGAGCUUGCUCUCGGGUGACGAGUGGCGGACGGGUGAGUAACGUCUGGGAAACUGCCCGAUGGAGGGGGAUAACUACUGGAAACGAUAGCUAAUACCGCAUAACGUCGCAAGACCAAAGUGGGGGACCUUCGGGCCUCACACCAUCGGAUGUGCCCAGAUGGGAUUAGCUAGUAGGGGGGGUAAUGGCUCACCUAGGCGACGAUCCCUAGCUGGUCUGAGAGGAUGACCAGCCACACUGGAACUGAGACACGGUCCAGACUCCUACGGGAGGCAGCAGUGGGGAAUAUUGCACAAUGGGCGCAAGCCUGAUGCAGCCAUGCCGCGUGUAUGAAGAAGGCCUUCGGGUUGUAAAGUACUUUCAGCGGGGAGGAAGGCGGUGAAGUUAAUAACUUCACCGAUUGACGUUACCCGCAGAAGAAGCACCGGCUAACUCCGUGCCAGCCGCCGCCGUAA